RNAcentral lists this ribosomal RNA (660 nucleotides) under Symmetrospora sp. HB1056. RNAcentral's name for it is "eukaryotic LSU rRNA". It matches the Rfam family "Eukaryotic large subunit ribosomal RNA", at positions 33 to 680 of the family's 3401-position model. The record is from RNAcentral. Lineage: Eukaryota; Fungi; Basidiomycota; Cystobasidiomycetes; Symmetrosporaceae.
CUUAAGCAUAUCAAUAAGCGGAGGAAAAGAAACUAACAAGGAUUCCCCUAGUAACGGCGAGUGAAGUGGGAAAAGCUCAACUUUAAAAUCUGGCAGCUUCGCUGUCCGAGUUGUAGUCUCGAGAAGUGUUUUCCGCGCUGGAUCGUGUAUGAGUCUGUUGGAAUACAGCGUCAUAGAGGGUGAGAACCCCGUUCAUGACACGACUACCAGUGCUUUGUGAUACACUUUCGAUGAGUCGAGUUGUUUGGGAAUGCAGCUCAAAAUGGGUGGUAAAUUCCAUCUAAAGCUAAAUAUUGGCGAGAGACCGAUAGCAAACAAGUACCGUGAGGGAAAGAUGAAAAGCACUUUGGAAAGAGAGUUAACAGUACGUGAAAUUGUCGAAAGGGAAACGCUUGAAGUCAGACGUGCGCGGUGCGAUUCAGCCUUGGUUCGCCAGGGUGUACUUCGUACCAUUGCAGGCCAGCAUCGGUUUUGUGAGCCGGAUAAAGGUUAGAGGAAGGUAGCGGUCCAGGCCGUGUUAUAGCCUCUAACUGAAUACGGAUUGUGAGACCGAGGGACGCAGCGCGCCGCAAGGCAAAGGGUCCGCCCUUUUCGCGCUUAGGAUGCUGGUGAAAUGGCUUUAAACGACCCGUCUUGAAACACGGACCAAGGAGUCUAACA